Molecule: ribosomal RNA, 709 nt
Filed under: uncultured bacterium
Lineage: Bacteria
Description: bacterial SSU rRNA
Rfam family: Bacterial small subunit ribosomal RNA
Source: RNAcentral
AUUAGAUACCCUGGUAGUCCACACAGUAAUCGAUGAAUACUCGCUGUUUGCGAUAUACAGCAAGCGGCCAAGCGAAAGCAUUAAGUAUUCCACCUGGGGAGUACGCCGGCAACGGUGAAACUCAAAGGAAUUGACGGGGGCCCGCACAAGCGGAGGAACAUGUGGUUUAAUUCGAUGAUACGCGAGGAACCUUACCCGGGCUUAAAUUGCAUUUGAAUAUAGUGGAAACAUCAUAGCCGCAAGGCAAAUGUGAAGGUGCUGCAUGGUAGUCGUCAGCUCGUGCCGUGAGGUGUCGGCUUAAGUGCCAUAACGAGCGCAACCCUUAUCUUCAGUUACUAACAGGUCAUGCUGAGGACUCUGGAGAGACAGCCGUCGUAAGAUGUGAGGAAGGUGGGGAUGACGUCAAAUCAGCACGGCCCUUACGUCCGGGGCUACACACGUGUUACAAUGGGGGGUACAGAAGGCAGCUACCGGGCGACCGGAUGCCAAUCCCAAAAACCUCUCUCAGUUCGGAUCGAAGUCUGCAACCCGACUUCGUGAAGCUGGAUUCGCUAGUAAUCGCGCAUCAGCCAUGGCGCGGUGAAUACGUUCCCGGGCCUUGUACACACCGCCCGUCAAGCCAUGAAAGCCGGGGGUACCUGAAGUACGUAACCGCAAGGAGCGUCCUAGGGUAAAACUGGUAAUUGGGGCUAAGUCGUAACAAGGUAAC